GUGCUUGCUCCAGCAGCACAAGUGCACAUUGGAAUGGCACAGAGGAGAUUAGCAUGGCCCCUGCCCAAGGAUGGCAGGCAAGUUCAUGAAGAGUUCCAUGUUUGG
Molecule: small nuclear RNA, 105 nt
Organism: Jaculus jaculus (lesser Egyptian jerboa)
Lineage: Eukaryota; Metazoa; Chordata; Mammalia; Rodentia; Dipodidae
Source: Ensembl